UACGAAGGGGGCUAGCGUUGCUCGGAAUUACUGGGCGUAAAGGGCGCGUAGGCGGACAGUUUAGUCAGAGGUGAAAGCCCAGGGCUCAACCUUGGAACUGCCUUUGAUACUGACUGUCUUGAGUUCGGGAGAGGUGAGUGGAAUGCCGAGUGUAGAGGUGAAAUUCGUAGAUAUUCGGCGGAACACCAGUGGCGAAGGCGACUCACUGGCCCGAUACUGACGCUGAGGCGCGAAAGCGUGGGAAGCAAACAGG
RNAcentral lists this ribosomal RNA (253 nucleotides) under uncultured bacterium. RNAcentral's name for it is "partial 16S ribosomal RNA". It matches the Rfam family "Bacterial small subunit ribosomal RNA", at positions 524 to 776 of the family's 1533-position model. The record is from RNAcentral.